This 2584-nucleotide small RNA is filed under the name Rattus norvegicus (Norway rat). Its description in RNAcentral is "uncharacterized LOC102553568". Lineage: Eukaryota; Metazoa; Chordata; Mammalia; Rodentia; Muridae. The record is from RNAcentral.
CAUACCUUAAAAAAAAAGACAGGGUCUACUUUAAAGGUUUAUAAACACUAGACACCCUCUCCUAGGAUGUCUUCCUUGAAUAUAGCUCAUUCCAUGUUCACACAGCAAACAUGUACUGUAAGAAACCACUCUCACACGUAUGUCAUUGUACCCUGCGGUAAUAGCAUCAGAUGGAGGGGCAUGGAACACAGAGGAAGCUCUGGGCUCUGGCUAGACCCACAGACUACAACCAGGAGAAGGGGUGAGAGACUGAAGAAGACAGAAGACCUCGCACUGCUUCUGUGGAGCCUCAUCUUGGUUACCACUCCCUGGCCUACAAUUGUGUGAUCAUAGUCACAUGUCCCAGGUGAUAUCCCAUCCCCAGGACCCAAGUGGACGCUGGCUACACAUGGCAGGUCUGAGAUUCCAGCCGUAGAAGACAGGGUCUCUGGGGUAGGUGGUAUUAAAUCCAGCUCUGGAUUUAACCAAUGGACCCUGCCUCAAUGAAUGAUGUAGAAAGCUUCCUGAUUAUCAAGCUCAGGCUUGAUAGGGGGAAGCUAUAUAUUGUGAUGCUUGUAAUCUUAGUCUUGGGGAGAUAGGAAGAUUUUUUUAGGGUUCAUUAGCUUAACCUGUGAGACUCGAGUCUCAGUAAGAGUCCCUAUCUUAGAAACAGGAGGAUGAUACUGAACUGCUUAUACUACAGGCUGACUUCUGGCCUCCACAGACAUGUGCAUACGCACGUGUGCACACAUGUAUAGGUGCCCCUGAAAAAACAUGAACAUACACACAUGCAUGGCCGCAGUGAAAGAGGGAGAAAGGACUUCCUCCUCAUCAGCGUUGUCAAGCACAGGCAACACUUGAAUCCUGAGCGCCAGGGAGGGCUACAACUGUUUUGUCCCAAGCUGUUUCUUCAUUAUUUCUCCACCUCCUUACAGGGGCACAGAUUACAGGCCAAGCUGUGGAUAAAGUGAACCCUGGCUUUACCAGAACGGGGACAAAGACAUGAAAGCUGUUAUUGUGCUAAUCCUAGCACCGUUCAACUGUGCCAAGCUUGCAAGGAGGGCACAUGAGGCCAGCACAGACUGAGGUAGAGAAGAAUUCUUCUUGCUAGAGCCUCCUUUUGUCUGGCCCGGGGGAUCCUGGCUCCACUGUAGCUGUUGGCAGGUUUCAGUUCUUGCCACCAACAAGGAGGGACAGGAAGAGAGGUCCUUGAUGACCGACCUAGCUGGGUGGAACCUUGGAGAGCUCCCAUCUUGUCUCCUCUGUAGAUGAGGGAAUCACGGGCUACACAGGCUUCAUUAGGGUAAGUCCUUGGAAUUGAACCCAGUUGUGGUAUGAUGGCCAGGUGGUAUGAUCGCCUUUUCCUCACUCCCUCCUCAUGUACUCUGUGGACUUCUGAGAAGUUCAAGAGGCUACAGCCAUGACAUGAGGAGAGGAGAGGAAGCAGCUGACCUUCAGAGGCUCUAGUGAUACAGCUCUCUGUACCUCAGGGUCUUAGUGAUAGAUCCUGACAGUACCAGAUCAGGUCACCAGCCUAGGACCUCCCCCUUCCCUGCCCAUCUUCUCCACAGGGACCCCUUGUCCCAUCCUCAGGAAGUUUCUGGGAACCCAUGACUAGUUUCUCUGUGGACACAGCUUCCCCUGACAAGACAUACAUCUGGUAGUGACUCACACACUGGAUUUCUGCCCAAGGCCGUACAUCUUGAGUGGGGAGAACAUUCUCUUGAACUGACAACCUGCCCACCCUGCGGUGACAAUGGAGGCUGCCUUUGUCAGCCAACACUGAUGUCAUUCAAAUGGCACUUGGACCUCCUUGCCUGGGUUGUCCUAAGAUUCCAGUGUCCCUCACAUACCAGAUUCUUCCUCAAAAUUUCUCUGUCCCAGAGGGCUAGCCCCUCUCUUGUCCCCCUCCCCCUCCCUAGGUCAUCAUUUCUGCUCCAACACCCUCCCUAGGCCUCUCCAGCCCUGGUUCAGCUGCUUGAUUUUGAAAUACCAUUCAUGAUUUGCACCUCAGUCCUGUUAUAGGCAGUGCAGCAGUCCUGUCCCCAAGGGUGGCAGACUCAGAGGAGGAGACCAUUUGUACUAAUCACAGCAAACACCACAGAUAGCAAUGCUGGAUGCCAAGUGUGCCCACCACCAGGUCCUCACACUUACAGGCUUGUAUCACUAUUAACUUCUGGGCAAAGUCAUCUCCCCAGUAAGAAUUUCCUAAAUCCUAACUUCCUCCCCUAGACCCUUGUCUUACUAUCCAUUUACUUUUCCUGCAUCAUGUAUCAUUUUCCCAUACUUGUUCGUUGCCUAAACAGUGGCUUGCUGCUUGUCUGUCAUUCGAGGAACAAUCGGUGCCUGAGAACGGAAGCUCUGGAAAGGAAGCAAUGGAAGAGCGAGGAGACAACUUACAUGCAGAACGGGAGAAAGUCUUUGCCAGCUCUAUAUCCAACAGGGCAUUAAUAUCUAAGGUCUGUCUAGGACUUUUCCAUCUCCAAAAAUUAAAAACUAAGAACACACCAAUCAUUCAGGCAAUAAGUGGGCUGUUGAACUGAAUGGGCAGUUCUCGAAAGAAGAAAUACGAAUAGCUAAUAAAUACUCGAGAAAACAAAAAUCA